AGUAAGCCCCUGUGACGGGGCUCCUCGAGCCUCUGGAGCCCUGGGGAGAGUUUGCAUUUUAAGGUCACAUCUCCAUCCUCCAGGAGAAGGAUGAGAGGGGCCGGCUUUAAGUCCUAGUUCUCGGGUAUAUAAUUAAACAGAGAUUUUCCUUCCUGAAGGAACAAAAAGAGGCCAAGGACAGCCUAAUUGCAACCUCAAGAUUGCUUCUCCAAGAGUGGCCUGAGCAAGUGGGCCGAGGUAGAUUUGCAACUCUGGCUGGUGUGGUGGCCUGAGCCAGCGGGGCCCAGGUUCGGCUGCUGACGGCGGUCCACAGGAGGGGAGGGUCUGUUGGGCAGGGGAGCCUCUGCCUUGCUUCCUUUUAGGGUGAGCCUUUGGUUUUCCUGUCCCAAACGGGGGGGCCACGUGGGAGCCAGCAGCACACACUGGCCACCACUGACCACUCCUGCUGUCCUGGCACUCCGCCCGCUCCCAAAGCAGCAGCCCAUAGUGACAGGUCGCGAGUGCCAUCAGAAGGGUGCACCGCUUUAUUUACGCGGCUGUCAGCCAGGCUGGCUCUUCCAAAGUCGCGCAUUACCAGACAAGUGAAGGCAAAAUAGUGAUGCUUUAUUAAUUGCGGGUAUGGCUGCUAAUUAGAACCCAGGCCUGGGUUUUUAUACCUGUUUACAUACACUUGCUCCAGAGCGGAAGGACUUUCUCAUCUCUCCUUGCCUCUCCCCCACCCCCAGAAGAGAAUUUCAACUUUAAGACAAACAACUUCAUUUACAAGUGUGUCUCUAAUUAGCUGCAGAAUUAGGGAAGCUGAGCUUUCCCCCAUAGAUCCGCUCAAGCCUCCAGGGAGACUGGUGGAAUAGAGAGAAUCGCAUUUCCAAUUAUUUUGUUGAAUUGCUAAUUUAGUUAUUGUGCCUGGUGUAAUUGUGAUGGGUAUUGGGUGUGCAAUUCAAUUUGUUUUAAAUAUUUGUGGGAAGGCUGAUCAGUAAUGGAGCUGACCUAUUUUGUGGCCCAAAUUGAGAAAAAAAAGACUACAACACAACAGCCACAAAGAUAGAGUUUGUUUCCAUUUUUAUUUUGAUUUCUCUCAUCCCUCUUAAGACCAUUGAUGCAACAAAAGGAUUAAAUUAAAAGAUGACAGCACUUUGAUCUUCUCCCUUUGAAAGCUUAACUGUCCUUGGUAGUUUAAUAUGCAGCUAUUUCAGGGUAGAGUUUAGAUGCAUUGCUGGAGUUGAGUCGUUUCUGCCUCCCAAAAUUGCAUUUCUGCAUGUGCCUAAAAGUGAUUUGGGGUACUCAACUUUCUAAUAGUGUGUAAAGUAGUGGAGGUGUAUCUGUAACAAAUAAAGCAAAGCCGUGAGAGCCACAAGUUCGCCACUCCUACUGGGCAGAAGUCCAUUGCAGAGUCCUGGAACCUUCCCUCCAGGCAGUACCAUGUGCAGAGGUCGGUGGCCAGGAACCCCACCCCUGGCAUUUGCAUAAAGCUCGCCCCUCGGGAGCCCUGCUCCUGGUUGGUUUGAGCCUGUGCAGGUGAGAGGAGGGCUAGGUGAUAAGUUCCCUCAUGGCUAGCGGUGACUCUGGAACUCCUGGAGGGCCAAGCUCCAGUGUCUCUCUUCAGCCAGAGUCUGGACCGGGAGGGGCCUCCGUUGAGCACGCGUUUCACUUGGAAAUCCAGAACAAGAGCGAGUGGGUCGCCAUGUGAACAGUAAGAAUGCACCAUGGCAUCAGGCUGUGGGAACAUGAGAGCAUGCCAAACCAAAGAGCGUCUGAGCACCCACUGUGCUCCGGAGUCAGCCCCCUUUCCACCGAGCGUGGCAGCCAAUCUGGGCCUGAGCCAAAAUAUGUAGCAGAAUUGAAGCUUUUCCUAGAAUUGCUACAUUGGAAACUUUUGAACUCUGAACUUCAGUUAGGAUAAAAUAUCCAGGGUGACACUCCAAAGUAAUGUCAGAAAGAGUACAUUCUCAAUGGGCCCCCCACAAAGAGGUAAGUAAGGAGUAAUAGCAUAGCAUUCUCUCCCAGGUCUCAACAAAAAUACUAGAGCCAAGGAAUGUGGGAUCAAGUGAAAUCUAAUGCUGAAUGAACCUCAUAUAUAUGAAUGAGGGGGUUUCAGGUCCCCCUACCCUUUGUUAUACAACUACCAUCUUCUUUUGAACAUCCUGGUAUUUUGUUUAUACACUAUGGCUUUAUCAUUUUGCUCAAGACAUUUCUCUUGUCUCUGUGAGGCAAUGUCUGUUUCUGACUUAUUUUGACUUAUUUUUGUUCUCUGAAGUGGGUAGCAUCAUUCCUAACACACAGAACUCAAUAAAAAUGUGUAGGAUUGACUUAA
Non-coding RNA from Macaca mulatta (Rhesus monkey), 2311 nucleotides. NCBI's taxonomy places the organism in Eukaryota, Metazoa, Chordata, Mammalia, Primates, Cercopithecidae. The record is from RefSeq and is a predicted model, not a curated record.